RNA transcript from Prosopis cineraria, 1039 nucleotides. It is a transcript of the gene named 30S ribosomal protein 3, chloroplastic-like, with no coding region annotated. The transcript has 4 exons. Lineage: Eukaryota; Viridiplantae; Streptophyta; Magnoliopsida; Fabales; Fabaceae. The record is from RefSeq and is a predicted model, not a curated record.
UUCUGACCUUAUCUUCUUCUCCAGUUCGCCUCGCACGGUUCCACGACACUGCGGAAAUUGUUAAGAUCGACCCUUCUUUCUUCCUUUCUCUCUCAUAUAUCUCUUUAUCUUAGGUAGAAGAUGUUAUCCAUGGCGGUCCAACCGAACCUUCAUGCUUCUUCCCUCAGGCCUCUUGCAUUUUCAUCUUCGAACGCCUCGGUUACAUGCAUAAAACCUUGCGUUUUCACAAAGCCCAAGCAAUUCGCUUCAAAUCUAUUUCUUAAUGCGUCGCCCCAAAAAUUUAGGCUCUCUGCCGCCGCAGCUACAGCUGAAGAAUCUCUUGAUGAGGAUACGGAGUUGGAUAAUAUCCCUGCAGUAACUCCACAGACUCAGAAACUUGGAGUGGUGGUGAAGCCAACUGACAGGCCAAGGCUUGUGUUAAAAUUCAUUUGGAUGGAGAAAAACAUUGGCAUUGCACUGGAUCAAAUGAUUCCGGGGCAUGGUAGCAUUCCUCUAAGCCCUUACUACUUUUGGCCGAGGAAAGAUGCUUGGGAAGAGCUCAAGGAGCUGCUGGAGAGCAAGCCCUGGAUAUCUCAAAAGCAAAUGAUUAUUCUUCUCAACCAAGCUACCGAUAUCAUCAACUUGUGGCAGCAGAGUGGUGGAAACUUGGUGUAAUCUUAAAUGGUACAUAAUGCAGUCAGAUUAAGGCUUCUGUAGAUUAUAUCUUGGAGAUUGUCACAUUGAGUGUUGCUGCAAUUGCAAAGUGACUCCAAUUUCUGCAGCAAUAUCCUUCAGCGCUUUCAUCUGGACCGGUCAUUUGGAAUAUAGAUUGAUGGGAAAUUGUUCGAUAUAGAUAGAAAAAGACCUGAGAGCUAGCUAAGAUAGGUCAUUUUCAAGAAGUUUAGCUCUUCCUCUCAGAAAGUUGGAGUAAUUGUCUGUCAUGACGAACACAUCCUCUACCCCGUCUUUAAGAUGAGGCAAAUUUUAAAUUUUUUGUUUAGUGUUUAAUGUAAAGUAAAAUUAGAGUAAUUAUUUUUAAAAUUUUACCCUUAUUUAUUUA